Mobula hypostoma (lesser devil ray) is the source of this 680-nucleotide long non-coding RNA. RefSeq lists it as uncharacterized. NCBI's taxonomy places the organism in Eukaryota, Metazoa, Chordata, Chondrichthyes, Myliobatiformes, Myliobatidae. The transcript has 3 exons. The record is from RefSeq and is a predicted model, not a curated record.
UUAAAAUUACAGUUCUUUAGCUUCGACUUCACCUAUUAAGAAAAUAUCUGGCAUUGGACUUUUUGAAAAUAAGUAGGCCAGUGGUAAUUACAGCCAGUCUUCCCGCUGCGCAGGAUGAAUAGAGUCUCCUGGGUGGUAUUUGCUGCUACCUGUCGAUGUGGGCUGUUGACAUGGAACUAUGUCUCCCUGGUGACUUCGUUCACAUUACAACAACAGCUGCACCCACGAGUAGUUGAGGAUCAGGUGCCGGAGGUGCCCCAAGGAAAAUGAAGAAAGAGAGAUGGAAGACAAGGAUGAAAUAAAAAAGAACGGGAAAGAUGGAGCACUGUAGCAGGAAAGCAGCAUCCAUCAUCACCCAAGCCACUCUUUAUUCUUGCUGCUUCCAUAAGGAAGAAGGAACAGGAGCUUCAGGAUCCACACCACCAGGCUCAAAUAACUGAUUAGCCCUCAACCAUCAGGCUAUUGGAACAGAGGGAUAACUUCAGUCAAAUUCACUUGCCCCAUCACUGAACUGUUCCCACAACCUAUGGAUUCACUUUCAAGGACUCUUCGUCUCAUGUUUUUAAUAUUUAUUUCUUAUUUCUUCUUCUUAUUAUUAUUAUUAAUUUUGUAUUUGCACAGUUUGUUGUCUUUUUUCACAGUGGUUGUUGUCCAUCUUGUUGGUUGCAGUCUUUCAUUGA